RNAcentral lists this transfer RNA (73 nucleotides) under Ixodes scapularis (black-legged tick). RNAcentral's name for it is "tRNA-Ser for anticodon AGA". It matches the Rfam family "tRNA". From Rfam's summary of the family: Transfer RNA (tRNA) molecules are approximately 80 nucleotides in length. Their secondary structure includes four short double-helical elements and three loops (D, anti-codon, and T loops). Further hydrogen bonds mediate the characteristic L-shaped molecular structure. tRNAs have two regions of fundamental functional importance: the anti-codon, which is responsible for specific mRNA codon recognition, and the 3' end, to which the tRNAs corresponding amino acid is attached (by aminoacyl-tRNA synthetases). tRNAs cope with the degeneracy of the genetic code in two manners: having more than one tRNA (with a specific anti-codon) for a particular amino acid; and 'wobble' base-pairing, i.e. permitting non-standard base-pairing at the 3rd anti-codon position. Lineage: Eukaryota; Metazoa; Arthropoda; Arachnida; Ixodida; Ixodidae. The record is from RNAcentral.
UCCAGGUUAGGUCAGAUGGUGGAGCGCUCCACUAGAAAUGGAGAGGUCUCUGGUUCAAUACCAGAACCAGACG